RNAcentral lists this long non-coding RNA (613 nucleotides) under Monodelphis domestica (gray short-tailed opossum). RNAcentral's name for it is "lncRNA (ENSMODG00000043781.1)". Lineage: Eukaryota; Metazoa; Chordata; Mammalia; Didelphimorphia; Didelphidae. The record is from RNAcentral.
GUUCUGGCUGCCUUCACUUAGCUAUCAGAUCUUUGGGCUCCUUUCCAGACAAACUGAUUGCCUACUGGCAUUGGAAGAGUGCAUCUCUUUUCUUCCUUUGUUUGGAUAACAUCAUCCCCCCCUCCUUUGCUCCCCUCUAUCCAUCCUUCUCUCCCUCCCCCUCCACUCUCACACAAGUCAGCUUUCCUCUGACUAAUGUUCUCUCCUCAAAGAGAAGCAAGUCUGCAAAUCUCAUUAUUUCACAAUGUUUUCCACUAAGAGUAACCAACUGGUUGUGCAAUCUAUACUUCAGAGCUUGCCGAGCUUUGCAAAUCUGCCAGAAGAGAAAUCAUGACUUCCUCUCUCAACAAGUCACUAUUAGUUUGCCUAAAGGCUAAAGGUUGGGAAGGAGAAGAUGACUUUAAGGCAGGUGUUGAACUUCCUAGGAUGGGAAAAGAGGGACUUGGAGGUCCAGAGCUGAUUGCAAAAGGUACACUGCAAAGAAGGAGAGGUGAUGACAGAAGGAGGGUCUGGCUGUGUCAUAUUUCAAUAGGGGAGGUGACCUGUAAGUAAGCAGGCUCUUAUAAGAAGAAUACAGAAUAAAUGAAAGGUUUUCUAUCUGAAAGGAGAGGCA